ACCUAGCUGCCCUCAUGCUUUAAAUUUUAAAGUGUUAAAUCUUAGCAAGUCAUGUUCUGUUCCCGUAAUUGGUUGUGUGUCUAUGUAGGUACAGUGGAUGGCUCGCCUUAAUAUUGAGGUGAGAGUCAAAAGCUGAUAUAAGAACAUAGAAAACCUGGGUGUGGAGGCUGGAUGCUGGUCCACCUCAAGAACACAGGCUUGGAGGAAGAGGGGUGGAGAAGUGGGGAAGGAAAUUUGUCCUUCAGCUCACAAUCAGAGCUAUCCAAAAAGAGGAAUGGGGCAUCUAAAGAGGCUGUAAGUUCCUCAUGACUGGAGGCAGCUUGCUCACUUGGUGUGAAAAGAAGACAGAGAGGACACGACGGCUAUUUUGAGGUAUCUAAAGGACUGCCAUGGAGAAGUCAUAUCAGUCUUGCCCUUCUUGGUUCCUGAGAAUAACAGCAGUAGGAGUAGCAACACGAUUGAAAAGUGCAGUGGUGAAUUUAAUCCUGAUAUGGGGAAAAACUCAAAAAAGAGCUACCCAAAUGAGGAAGAGGCUGCCUAGAGAGUGACUGUCCCUUCAUGGAGCUCUUCAAACAAAAGUUGGCUGACCAGUUCAUGGAUAGUGUAGAAGGGAUCUUCAUUCAGAUAUGAAUAGGGUUAAAUGGAAUUCUCUUCCAAGAUUGACAGCUUGUGAAUAUCAAUGUAAUAAAACACCACAAUGCAAUUAGGAAUGCUAACAAUCAAACUGACAUUUAUUAAGUACCUAUUGUGUACCAUAAGAGCUUGGGAAUGAAGACAAAAAAUGUAGCAGUCCCUCUUCCCUCAAGAAAAUCACACCCUCUGGGAGAGACAACAUGUACUUAUAAAUACGUGGUUGAGAUAAACACAGAUAAUGAAUGCUUUUCCAGUUUAUUAACACAACUGACACUGCACAGGUUUGCAAAGUACCUUCCUCACAAUAAUCCUGUGAUUUUUUCAAGUAUUAUUUUCCCCAAUUAGGAGAUGAGGAAACGGGUUCUGAGAGACAAACUGACUUGCUCAGAGUAAGUGUCCAAGGCAGGAAUUUGAACCUAGGUUUCCAUAUUCC
Long non-coding RNA from Dromiciops gliroides (monito del monte), 1066 nucleotides. RefSeq lists it as uncharacterized. NCBI's taxonomy places the organism in Eukaryota, Metazoa, Chordata, Mammalia, Microbiotheria, Microbiotheriidae. The transcript is spliced from 4 exons. The record is from RefSeq and is a predicted model, not a curated record.